This 101-nucleotide Y RNA is filed under the name Prolemur simus (greater bamboo lemur). RNAcentral describes it as "Y RNA (ENSPSMG00000011820.1)". It matches the Rfam family "Y RNA". Rfam says of the family: Y RNAs are components of the Ro ribonucleoprotein particle (Ro RNP), in association with Ro60 and La proteins. The Y RNAs and Ro60 and La proteins are well conserved, but the function of the Ro RNP is not known. In humans the RNA component can be one of four small RNAs -- hY1, hY3, hY4 and hY5. The record is from Rfam by way of RNAcentral. Lineage: Eukaryota; Metazoa; Chordata; Mammalia; Primates; Lemuridae.
GGCUGAUCCAAGUACAGUGGUGUUUACAACUAAUUGAUCACAGACAGUUACCAAUUCCUUUGUUCCUUCUCUACUCCCACUGCUCCACUUGACUAGUAAAA